This 402-nucleotide ribosomal RNA is filed under the name uncultured bacterium. RNAcentral's name for it is "bacterial SSU rRNA". It matches the Rfam family "Bacterial small subunit ribosomal RNA", at positions 64 to 512 of the family's 1533-position model. The record is from RNAcentral.
GAGCGAAGCCUUCGGGCUUAGCGGCGGACGGGUGAGUAACGCGUGGGAACGUGCCCUUUGCUACGGAACAGUCCUGGGAAACUGGGUUUAAUACCGUAUACGCUCUUCGGAGGAAAGAUUUAUCGGCAAAGGAUCGGCCCGCGUUGGAUUAGGUAGUUGGUGGGGUAAUGGCCUACCAAGCCGACGAUCCAUAGCUGGUUUGAGAGGAUGAUCAGCCACACUGGGACUGAGACACGGCCCAGACUCCUACGGGAGGCAGCAGUGGGGAAUCUUAGGCAAUGGGGGCAACCCUGAUCUAGCCAUGCCGCGUGAGCGAAGAAGGCCUUAGGGUUGUAAAGCUCUUUCGCUGGGGAAGAUAAUGACGGUACCCAGUAAAGAAGCCCCGGCUAACUCCGUGCCAGC